GACGAACGCUGGCGGCGUGCUUAACACAUGCAAGUCGAGCGGUAAGGCCCUUUCGGGGGUACACGAGCGGCGAAUGGGUGAGUAACACGUGGGUGACCUGCCCUCAGCUCUGGGAUAAGCCCGGGAAACUGGGUCUAAUACCGGAUAUGACUCCAUGACGCAUGUUGUGGGGUGGAAAGCCUUGUGCGGCUGAGGAUGGGCCCGCGGCCUAUCAGCUUGUUGGUGGGGUGAUGGCCUACCAAGGCGACGACGGGUAGCCGGCCUGAGAGGGCGACCGGCCACACUGGGACUGAGACACGGCCCAGACUCCUACGGGAGGCAGCAGUGGGGAAUCUUGCGCAAUGGGCGAAAGCCUGACGCAGCGACGCCGCGUGAGGGAUGACGGCCU
RNAcentral lists this ribosomal RNA (388 nucleotides) under uncultured bacterium. RNAcentral's name for it is "bacterial SSU rRNA". It matches the Rfam family "Bacterial small subunit ribosomal RNA", at positions 28 to 417 of the family's 1533-position model. The record is from RNAcentral.